This 535-nucleotide ribosomal RNA is filed under the name uncultured Staphylococcus sp. RNAcentral describes it as "bacterial SSU rRNA". It matches the Rfam family "Bacterial small subunit ribosomal RNA", at positions 56 to 573 of the family's 1533-position model. The record is from RNAcentral. Lineage: Bacteria; Bacillati; Bacillota; Bacilli; Caryophanales; Staphylococcaceae.
UGCAAGUCGAGCGAACAGACGAGGAGCUUGCUCCUCUGACGUUAGCGGCGGACGGGUGAGUAACACGUGGAUAACCUACCUAUAAGACUGGGAUAACUUCGGGAAACCGGAGCUAAUACCGGAUAAUAUAUUGAACCGCAUGGUUCAAUAGUGAAAGACGGUUUUGCUGUCACUUAUAGAUGGAUCCGCGCCGCAUUAGCUAGUUGGUAAGGUAACGGCUUACCAAGGCAACGAUGCGUAGCCGACCUGAGAGGGUGAUCGGCCACACUGGAACUGAGACACGGUCCAGACUCCUACGGGAGGCAGCAGUAGGGAAUCUUCCGCAAUGGGCGAAAGCCUGACGGAGCAACGCCGCGUGAGUGAUGAAGGUCUUCGGAUCGUAAAACUCUGUUAUUAGGGAAGAACAAAUGUGUAAGUAACUAUGCACGUCUUGACGGUACCUAAUCAGAAAGCCACGGCUAACUACGUGCCAGCAGCCGCGGUAAUACGUAGGUGGCAAGCGUUAUCCGGAAUUAUUGGGCGUAAAGCGCGCGUA